AGUGAACGCUGGCGGCAGGCUUAACACAUGCAAGUCGAGCGGGCCCUUCGGGGUCAGCGGCAGACGGGUGAGUAACACGUGGGAACGUACCCUUUGGUUCGGAAUAACGCUGGGAAACUAGCGCUAAUACCGGAUACGCCCUUUUGGGGAAAGGCUUGCUGCCGAAGGAUCGGCCCGCGUCUGAUUAGCUAGUUGGGGGGGUAAUGGCCUACCAAGGCGACGAUCAGUAGCUGGUCUGAGAGGAUGAUCAGCCACACUGGGACUGAGACACGGCCCAGACUCCUACGGGAGGCAGCAGUGGGGAAUAUUGGACAAUGGGCGCAAGCCUGAUCCAGCCAUGCCGCGUGAGUGAUGAAGGCCUUAGGGUUGUAAAGCUCUUUUGUCCGGGACGAUAAUGACGGUACCGGAAGAAUAAGCCCCGGCUAACUUCGUG
This 433-nucleotide ribosomal RNA is filed under the name uncultured bacterium. Its description in RNAcentral is "partial 16S ribosomal RNA". It matches the Rfam family "Bacterial small subunit ribosomal RNA", at positions 29 to 507 of the family's 1533-position model. The record is from RNAcentral.